This is a long non-coding RNA of Oncorhynchus tshawytscha (Chinook salmon), 4796 nucleotides long. The record is from Ensembl. NCBI's taxonomy places the organism in Eukaryota, Metazoa, Chordata, Actinopteri, Salmoniformes, Salmonidae.
CUGAGAGACAAUGUGUAACCGUGUUACUGAGAGACAAUGUGAUGCCAUUCUUGUCCUUUCUUUCAUUUAAAAAUGAUUUAUACAGCAAAAUACAUAUAUUUCAAACUAAAUAUUUAUUUUUUACUCAGUACAUAUAUGGUACAUAGAUAUUGUUUUUGUUUCACGUCUAGUAAUCUAUGUUGUAACCUUCUGACAAUAACAUUGUGUGUGAUUUCUCUAUGUGUCUACAAUAUAUGAACAGGGCAGGGUAGCCUGGUGGUUAGAGGGCAGGGUAGGGUCCCUGGUGGUUAGAGGGCAGGGCAGGGUACCCUGGUGGUUAGAGGGCAGGGCAGGGUACCCUGGUGGUUAGAGGGCAGGGCAGGGUACCCUGGUGGUUAGAGGGCAGGGUAGGGUGCCUGGUGGUUAGAGGGCAGGGUAGGGUACCCUGGUGGUUAGAGGGCAGGGCAGGGUAGCCUGGUGGUUAGAGGGCAGCAGGGUAGCCUGGUGGUUAGAGGGCAGGGCAGGGUAGCCUGGUGGUUAGAGGGCAGGGUAGGGUACCCUGGUGGUUAGAGGGCAGGGCAGGGUACCCUGGUGGUUAGGGCAGGGCAGGGUAGCCUGGUGGUUAGAGGGCAGGGUAGGGUACCCUGGUGGUUAGAGGGCAGGGCAGGGUACCCUGGUGGUUAGAGGGCAGGGCAGGGUACCCUGGUGGUUAGAGGGCAGGGUAGGGUACCCUGGUGGUUAGAGGGCAGGGCAGGGUAGCCUGGUGGUUAGAGGGCAGGGUAGGGUGCCCUGGUGGUUAGAGGGCAGGGUAGGGUACCCUGGUGGUUAGAGGGCAGGGCAGGGUAGCCUGGUGGUUAGAGGGCAGGGUAGGGUACCCUGGUGGUUAGAGGGCAGGGCAGGGUAGCCUGGUGGUUAGAGGGCAGGGCAGGGUAGCCUGGUGGUUAGAGGGCAGGGUAGGGUAGCCUGGUGGUUAGAGGGCAGGGUAGGGUAGCCUGGUGGUUAGAGGGCAGGGUAGGGUACCCUGGUGGUUAGAGGCAGGGCAGGGUACCCUGGUGGUUAGAGGGCAGGGCAGGGUAGCCUGGUGGUUAGAGGGCAGGGUAGGGUACCCUGGUGGUUAGAGGGCAGGGCAGGGUAGCCUGGUGGUUAGAGGGCAGGGUAGGGUAGCCUGGUGGUUAGAGGGCAGGGUAGGGUAGCCUGGUGGUUAGAGGGCAGGGUAGGGUAGCCUGGUGGUUAGAGGGCAGGGUAGGGUACCCUGGUGGUUAGAGGGCAGGGCAGGGUACCCUGGUGGUUAGAGGGCAGGGCAGGGUAGCCUAGUGGUUAGAGCGUUGGACUAGUAACCGAAAGGUUUCAUGUUCAAAUCCCCGAGCUGACAAGGUACAAAUCUGUCAUUCUGCCCCUGAACAGGAAGUUAACCCACUGUUCCUAGGCCGUCAUUGAAAAUAAGAAUUUGUUCUUAAACUGACUAGUUAAAUAAAGGUAAAAUAAAUAAAACAUAUGAUCUUUACAGUGACCUUCCUGACAUUCAGGGCCCUCAGAAAGUAUUCCCCCCUAGACUUUCUCUACAUUUUUUGGGGGGUCACAGCCUGAAUUAAAAAAUGGGUUAAGUGUAGAUGUUGUGUCGCUGGCCUGCACACGAUACUCCAUGAUGUCAAAGAUGAAACGUGUUUAUAGACAUUUUUACAAAUUAAUUUUAAAAAAUACAAAUCUGAAAUGCCUCUAGUCAAUAAGUAUUUAACUCCUUUGUUAUGACCUAAAUAAGUUCAGGAGUAAAAAAAAAUAUGCUUAACAAGGCACAUAAUAAGUUGCAUUGACUCACGCUUUGUGCAAUAAUAGUGUUUAACCUGAUGUUUGAGUGACUAUCUCAUUUCUGUUCCCCACACAUACAAUUAUCUGUGAGGUCCCUCAGUCGAGCAGUGAAUUUUAAACACAGAUUCAACCACAAAGACCAGGGACGGCACCUAUUGGUAGAUGGGUCAAAGAAAACACACAAAAAACAGACAAUGAAUAUCCCUUUGAGCAUGGUGGUUAUUAAUUACACUUUGGAUGGUGUAUCAAUACACCCAGUCACUACAAAGAUACAGGUGUCCUUCCUAACUCAGUUGCCAGGGAGGAAGGAAACCGCUCAGAGGUUUCACCAUGAUGUCAAUGGUGAUUUUAAAACAGUUACAGAGUUUAAUGGCUGUGUUAAGAGAAAACGGAUGAUGGAUCAACAACAUUGUAGUUACUCCACAAUACUAACCUAAAUGAUAGAAUGAAAAGAAGGAAGCCUGUACAGAAUAAAAAAUAUUCCAAAACAUGCAUCCUGUUUGCAACAAGGCACAAAAUGAAAACUGUAAAAAAAAAAUGUGGCACAGAAAUGACCUUUAUGUCCUGAAUACAAAGUGUUAUAUUUGGGUCAAAUCCAACACAACACAUCACUGAGUACCACUCUUCAUAUUUUCAAGGAUGGCGGUGGCUGCAUCAUGUUAUGGGUAUACUUGUCAUCGACAAGGACUAGGGAGGAUUUGGGAUGAUUAAAACUAAAUGGAAUAGAGCUCAGCACAGGAGUAAAACCUGGUUCAGACUUCUUAACCAACAAACACUGGGAGACAAAUUCACCUUUCAGAAAAACAACAUUGAAUGUUCCUGAGUCGCCUAGUUACAGUUUUGACUUAAAUCGGCUUGAACAUCUAUGGCAAGACUUUUGAAAAUAAUAAUUGCCAAAUAUUGUACAAUCCAGGUAUGUAAAGCUCUUAGAGACUUACACAGAAAGAGUCACAGCUGUAAUCGCUGCCAACUGUGAUUCUAACACGUAUUGACUCAGGGGGUGUGAAUACUUAUGUAAAUUAGAUUUUGGAAAUUAAUUUUCAAUACAUUUGCAAAAAUGUUUAAAAGAAACAUGUUUUCACCUUGUUAUUGUGGGGUAUUGUGUGUAGAUGGGUGAGAUUUAAAAUAUAUAUAUAUAUAUAUCCAUUUUGAAUUGUAUCUGUAACAACAAACCGUAGUAUAAGUCAAGGAGUAUGAAUACUUUCUGAAGGCCUUCUCCAUAUUAUCUGAGACUGUAAAUGUCACCAAUGUGUGAACAUGGCUAAAUACAAAUCUCAUCUGGAUAUCAUUACCAGAGCCUGGAAAUCCUACUGGUAAUAUCCCAGCCCAGCCCUGUCUGACUGAGGGCUGAAACCUAGGCUGGGAGGGGGCUCAGCUCUGAGACAUAGUAUGAACUGGUUUCCAGAGCAACAUUAAACCAAUAGUGUUUUGUUAGUCAAAGACUAGACGUUAUCUGUGUCUAGGAUACUCCGCCCAAUAACACUGUAACUGGGGGGGGGGGCAAACUCUAAAGGCUGGUUUCCCAGAUACAGAUUCAUCCUAGUUCUGGACUAAAAAAGGUAUUUCUUCAUUGACUAUUGAAUUCUCCAUUAGACCAGGACAAGGCUUAAUCUGUGCCUGGGAAACCAGCCCAAUGACACAGGGUCUGUAUUCCCAGACACCAAUUAAGCCUAUAUUCCUGGACUAAAAAGCUAUUUAAAGAGAGAUUCUUAAAUUUAGCAUGCUUUUUAGUUCAGGACCAGGCUUAAUCUGUGUCCUGGAAACCGGCCCAAUAACACAGUAACUGAAUUUCUUUAUCUCUGGUACAGGCAGCAAGUUUGUGUGUCUAUAUCUCUGGUACAGGCAGCAGGUUUGUGUGUCUAUAUCUCUGGUACAGGCAGCAAGUUUGUGUGUCUAUAUCUCUGGUACAGGCAGAUAGUUCUAUAGUGAGGUGCGGUAGACAGCAGGUUUCAAUAGUGAGGUGCAGUAGACAGCAGGUUUCUAUAGUGAGGUGCAGUAGACAGCAGGUUUCUAUAGUGAGGUGCAGUAGAAAGCAGGUUUCUAUAGUGAGGUGCAGUAGACAGCAGGUUUCUAUAGUGAGGUGCAGUAGACAGCAGGUUUCUAUAGUGAGGUGCAGUAGACAGCCUGCCUAACUGUCUCCUCAGCCUGGAUUGUAACACACCACACUCACUUUUAGCAGUCCAAAGUCAAAUAGUGACUCACAAAUUCCUCUGCUUUUCUUUUUCCAGGGAUCAGACAUUAGGGAGAGGCAGCGUCACCUUUCCUCCUCCCUCCUCCACUCCCUACUUCUGCUCCUGCUAGCCUAACCCAGGCCUAUACAGUAAGUUACUUCUCUCUCUCUAACUACUGUCAACACACACCUCUCGUCUCAACAGUAUAUUCUAUAAGAAUCUCAACCCUCUUUCGCUAACUUCCCUCUUCACAAAUAAUAUACAUUUCAGUUGUACAGUCUGCUUCACAAAUAGCCCCCUAUUCCCUGUGUAGUGCCCUAUGGGGCCUGGUCUAAAGCAGUGCACUAUAGAGGGAAAAGGGUGUAAUUUGGAACGCACGCACAGUUACAACACACCUCCAGCCAGAUCUUUUGGUCUUUCGGGCCCCAGACUGCAAUCAAACGGCAGCCACGCCAAAUGCUUUUUCCGGAGGCCAGGAUUUUUUUCAGCUCCUGUAGCUCUGAUAAAAGUCCUGCCACACUCAAACCCCCUAUAGGCUUCUCACACACACACACACACACACAGCCCCCCGAAGGCCACUGAAAACAUCAAAGCGUUUCUACUGUAAGUCAGCAACACCUUUAAACUGCAGGCGUUGUAAUGCAGAGGUGGAAAGAGGUGGAGACUUAGGGAGGAGAGAGGAUGUGGAGAGAGGAGGUGGAGAGAGGUGGAGAGGAGAGAGGAGGUGGAAAGAGGUGGAGACUUAGGGAGGAGAGAGGAUGUGGAGAGAGGAGGUGGAGAGAGGAGGUGGAGAGAGGUGGAGAGGAGAGAGGAGGUGGAGACUUAGGGAGGAGAGGAUGA